GAUGAACGCUGGCGGCGUGCCUAACACAUGCAAGUCGAGCGAACGGACGAGGAGCUUGCUUCUCUGAUGUUAGCGGAGGACGGGUGAGUAACACGUGGAUAACCUACCUAUAAGACUGGGAUAACUUCGGGAAACCGGAGAUAAUACCGGAUAAUAUUUUGAACCGCAUGGUUCAAAAGUGAAAGACGGUCUUGCUGUCACUUAUAGAUGGAUCUGCGCUGCAUUAGCUAGUUGGUAAGGUAACGGCUUACGAAGGCAACGAUGCGUAGCCGACCGAAGAGGGUGAUCGGCCACACUGGAACUUGGACGCGGUCCAGACUCCUACGGUAGGCAGCAGUAUGGAAUCUUCGGCAGUGGGCGAGAGCCUGACGGAGCAGCGCCGCGUGAGUGAUGGAGGUCUUCGGAUCGUGAUACUCUGUUAUUAGGGAAGAACAUAUGUGUAAUGAACUGUGCACAGCUUGACGGUACCUGGUCAAGAAGCCACGGCUAACUACGUG
Molecule: ribosomal RNA, 497 nt
Filed under: uncultured bacterium
Lineage: Bacteria
Description: partial 16S ribosomal RNA
Rfam family: Bacterial small subunit ribosomal RNA
Source: RNAcentral